This 484-nucleotide ribosomal RNA is filed under the name uncultured bacterium. RNAcentral describes it as "bacterial SSU rRNA". It matches the Rfam family "Bacterial small subunit ribosomal RNA", at positions 28 to 507 of the family's 1533-position model. The record is from RNAcentral.
GAUGAACGCUAGCUACAGGCUUAACACAUGCAAGUCGAGGGGCAGCGCAGUGUAGCAAUACAUGGGCGGCGACCGGCGCACGGGUGCGUAACGCGUAUCCAACCUUCCCGAUACUCAGGGAUAGCCUUCCGAAAGGGAGAUUAAUACCUGAUGGUGUUGAAAUUCCGCAUGUUAUUUCAACUAAAGAUUUAUCGGUAACGGAUGGGGAUGCGUGACAUUAGGUAGAUGGCGGGGUAACGGCCCACCAUGGCAACGAUGUCUAGGGGUUCUGAGAGGAAGGUCCCCCACACUGGAACUGAGACACGGCCCAGACUCCUACGGGAGGCAGCAGUGGGGAAUAUUGCACAAUGGGGGAAACCCUGAUGCAGCCAAGUAGCGUGAAGGAUGAAGGUUCUAUGGAUUGUAAACUUCUUUAUACGGGAAUAAAACCUCCCAGUGUGGGAGCUUGUAUGUACCGUAUGAAUAAGCAUCGGCUAACUCCGUG